This 1438-nucleotide ribosomal RNA is filed under the name metagenome. RNAcentral's name for it is "bacterial SSU rRNA". It matches the Rfam family "Archaeal small subunit ribosomal RNA". The record is from RNAcentral.
UCCCGUUGAUCCUGCGGGAGGUUGCUGCUAUUAGGGUUCGAUUUAGCCAUGCAAGUCAAGGGGCUUCUUCGGAAGCACCGGCAGACCGCUCAGUAACACGUCGAUAAUCUGCCCUUAGGUCAGGGAUAACCUUGAGAAAUUGAGGCUAACACCUGAUAGGAAAUAUUUUCUGGAAUGAGAUAUUUCUUAAACUCGUGCCUAAGGAUGAGUCGGCGGCUGAUUAGACUGUUGGCGGGGUAAUGGCCCACCAAAUCUAUGAUCAGUACGGGCCUUGAGAGAGGUAGCCCGGAGAGGGGUACUGAGAAACUGAUCCCAGCCCUACGGGGUGCAGCAGGCGCGGAACCUUUACAAUGCACGAAAGUGUGAUAAGGGAACCCUAAGUGCUAUAGUUAUGCUAUGGCUUUUGUUGAAAGUAAAUAUUUCGACGAAUAAGCGGUGGGUAAGACUGGUGCCAGCCGCCGCGGUAACACCAGCGCCGCAAGUAGUGACCACGUUUAUUGGGCCUAAAGCGUUCGUAGCCGGUUUGGUAAAUCUUUUGUGAAAUCGUAGGGCUUAACUCUACGGCAUGCAGAAGACACUGCUGAACUAGAGACCGGGAGGAGUCGGAGGUAUUCUGAGGGGAGCGGUAAAAUGCGAUAAUCCUUAGAGGACCACCUGUGGCGAAGGCGUCCGACCAGAACGGUUCUGACGGUGAGGAACGAAAGCUAGGGGAGCGAUUCGGAUUAGAUACCCGUGUAGUCCUAGCCGUAAACGUUGCGAGUUAGGUGUUGCAUUAUCUUCGAGAUGGUGCAGUAUCGAAGCGAAGGCGUUAAACUCGCCGCCUGGGAAGUAUAGUCGCAAGACCGAAACUUAAAGGAAUUGGCGGGGGAGCACUACAAGGGGUGCGGCGUGCAGUUUAAUCUAACUCCACACAGAGAAUCUCACCAGCAGCGACAGCAAGAUGAAAGUCAGAUUGAAGGUCUUACUUAAUGCGCUGAGAGGUGGUGCAUGGCCGCCGUCAGCUCGUGCCGUGAGGUGUCCGGUUAAGUCCGGUAACGAGCGAGAUCUGUAUCUACAAUUGCUAGCGAGUUCUUCGGAAUGAUCGUGCACAUUGUAGAGACUGCCUUCGAAAGGAGGAGGAAGGUGCAGGCUACGGUAGGUCUGUAUGCCCCGAAUCUGCUGGGCUACAUGCGCGCAACAAUGGCUAAGACAAUGGGAUGCAACUUCGAAAGAAGAAGCUAAUCCUCGAAACUUAGUCUAAGUUCAGAUUGAGGUUUGUAACUCAGCCUCAUGACGAUGGAAUCCCUAGUAAACAGAGUUUAUCAGAUUCUGUUGAAUAUGUCCCUGCUCCUUGCACACACCGCCCGUCAAACCAACCGAGCAGGGUUUGGGUGAGCUUUAGUUUUUUUGAUUGAAGCGAACCUAAGCUCAGUGAGGUGGGUUAAGUCGUCACAAGGUA